GACAGGAUGUUUUGGUUGAGAAAUAUCCGGACAUGAUUUCAAGACGUGGAGCUAUAGAAUAUACAUCGCCCCGUGAUCAUUUUGAUAGAUUAUUAACGUUUACUAAUACCUAAAGUUGCAUUACAAAAGUAUUUCGAAGUGUUUUGUGAAAGUUUAUCGUCAACUUUUUUUAAUUUUUAAAAAUGACGUUGUGUUAUCAAACUCAGUUUUUUCCUUGAUUACACAGUCUUCAUAGAUCGAUAUCUAGGCUAUAUAUGGACCGAUUUAAUCGAAAAAAAGACCCAAAUAAAUGUUUAUGGGACAUCUAGGAGUGCCAAGAAAGAAGCUCGUCAAAGGACCUGAGCCCUAGGAUCAUGCCUCAGGACUACCUGGCCUGAUGACUCCUGGCUAUCCCCAGUCCACCUGAUCAUGCUACUGCUCCAGUUUCAAAUGUUCUGCCUGUGGCUGUAACAGGAUUAUAUUGUGCGUGAGUGCAGAGUUGGAUGGUGAGCCGUGCAUUGCAUGACGUGCAAUUUUGUGCUGUUUCUAUCAGAAUAAAUCUCCAUGACUGGUGCUACAAGUUGGAGUUCGUGUCGAUGAUUGAUUGUACACAACGCAAGAAGAUUACUGUUACACGGCUAUGGAACCCUGACCUGUUCACAGGACGUGCUACCUUGUCCCGGACCUGCUGUUUUCGACUCUCUCUACCGCACCUGCUGUCUCGACCUCUGAAUGCUCAGCUAUGAAAAGCCAACUGACAUUUACUCCUGAGGUACUGACCUGCACCCUAUACAACCACUGUGAUUCUUACUUGACGCUACUGGUCAUCUAUGAAUGUUUGAACAUCUGCCACCCGGCAGAAGAAAAGAAAAUGGCCACCCCUCAGAGCCUGGAUCAUCUUUAGGUUUCUUCCUAGGUUCCUGCCUUUCUAGGGAGUUUUUCCAAGCUCCCGUGCUUCUACAUCUGCAUUGCUUGCGGUUUGGGGUUUUAGGUGCUGAUCUGCUGAUGUAAAAAGGGCUUUAUAAAUACAUUUGAUUGAUUGAUUGAUUGAUUGAUUUAAGUGUCCCUAUGUUGCAAGAGACCUUACCAUUGAAAAGGCAGUGAAGUCGAAGGAUUUCUAUAUCAAGGAAGUGUCACGCCCUGGUCGAAGUAUUUUGUGUUUAUCUUUAUUUAUUUGGUCAGGCCAGGGUGUGGCAUGGGUUUUUUAUAUGUGGUGUGUAUGUAUUGGGAUUGUAGCUAGUGGGGUGUUCUAGUUAAUUCUAUGGCUGUCUGAAGUGGUUCUCAAUCAGAGGCAGGUGUUUAUCGUUGUCUCUGAUUGGGAACCAUAUUUAGGCAGCCAUAUUCUUUGAGUUUGUCGUGGGUGAUUGUCCUUAGUGUCCUUGUUCCUGUUUUUGUUAGUUUACACAAGUAUAGGCUGUUUCGGUUUUCGUUUGUUACGUUUAUUGUUUGUAGUGUUUGUAUUUAGAUUCGUGUUACGUUUGUUCAUUAAACAUGGAUCGCAAUCUACACGCUGCAUUUUGGUCCGACUCUCCUUCACACCUAGAAAACCGUUACAGGAAGGAGGGUCUUAUCGCCUCUGUGAUGACCAUCCUUACUGGCACCAGGCCCAAGGUCAGCUCCACAUCACUGGAAGGGACACCUGCUUUUUCAUUGUGUGGACCACCAAAGCCUCCAUCACCAUCCAGCUUGAAGACUUCUGACAGACUCAUUUAGCUCCUCCUGUCAGUACCUGUUUUCAGGAAACCCAAUGAUCAAAACAUAUUCCACACACACGGCUCCCAUAAGCAGCCAACUAAAGUAAUGUAGUUACCUUUAUCAUGGGCGCACUGGAAUUUCUAUCUUUGAUGUUCAGAUUAUUUCUUACCCCAUGUCUUACGAAAGCCCCCUGCCUGUACUUGACAUUGUUGAAAAGCAAGUUAACAAUGAAUAAAGACCAUACAAACAGUAGGCUCCUAGAAUAGAUUAUAUUACAUUCAAGUUUUGCUCAGCCCAGCCAAAUGAACUAAUGUACACUAAACAGAAAUAUAAAUGUAACAUGUAAAGUGUUUGUCCCAUGUUUCAUGAGCUGAAAUAAAAGAUCCCAUUUCUUUUCCAUAUGCACAAAAAGCUUAUUUCUCUCCAAUUUUGUGUACAAAUGUGUUUACAUCCCUGUUGGUGAGGAUUUCUUCUUUGCCA
Oncorhynchus tshawytscha (Chinook salmon) is the source of this 2154-nucleotide long non-coding RNA. The record is from Ensembl. NCBI's taxonomy places the organism in Eukaryota, Metazoa, Chordata, Actinopteri, Salmoniformes, Salmonidae.